GACGAACGCUGGCGGCGUGCUUAACACAUGCAAGUCGAACGGUGAAGCGCCUUCCUUUUUGGUGGGUGUGGAUGAGUGGCGAACGGGUGAGUAACACGUGAGUAACCUGCCCCCUUCUUCUGGAUAACCGCAUGAAAGUGUGGCUAAUACGGGAUAUUCUGGGUCUGUCGCAUGAUGGGUCUGGGAAAGAUAUUGUUUCGGUGGGGGAUGGGCUCGCGGCCUAUCAGCUUGUUGGUGGGGUGAUGGCCUACCAAGGCGGUGACGGGUAGCCGGCCUGAGAGGGUGAACGGUCACACUGGGACUGAGACACGGCCCAGACUCCUACGGGAGGCAGCAGUGGGGAAUAUUGCACAAUGGGAGCAAGCCUGAUGCAGCGACGCCGCGUGAGGGAUGGAGGCCUUCGGGUUGUGAACCUCUUUCGCCAGUGAAGCAGGCCUGCCUCGUUUGUGGGUGGGUUGACGGUAGCUGGAUAAGAAGCGCCGGCUAACUACGUG
This 494-nucleotide ribosomal RNA is filed under the name uncultured bacterium. Its description in RNAcentral is "partial 16S ribosomal RNA". It matches the Rfam family "Bacterial small subunit ribosomal RNA", at positions 28 to 507 of the family's 1533-position model. The record is from RNAcentral.